Molecule: ribosomal RNA, 1352 nt
Filed under: uncultured bacterium
Lineage: Bacteria
Description: partial 16S ribosomal RNA
Rfam family: Bacterial small subunit ribosomal RNA
Source: RNAcentral
ACGGGUGAGUAACGCGUGGGAACCUGCCUUUUAGCACGGGAUAACAGUUGGAAACGACUGCUAAUACCGUAUACGCCCUCCGGGGGAAAGGUCCGCCGCUNNNNGAGGGGCCCGCGUCUGAUUAGUUUGUUGGUAGGGUAAUGGCCUACCAAGGCUACGAUCAGUAGCUGGUCUGAGAGGAUGAUCAGCCACACUGGGACUGAGACACGGCCCAGACUCCUACGGGAGGCAGCAGUGGGGAAUAUUGGACAAUGGGGGCAACCCUGAUCCAGCCAUGCCGCGUGAGUGAAGAAGGCCUUAGGGUUGUAAAGCUCUUUCAGUGGUGACGAUGAUGACGGUAACCGCAGAAGAAGCCCCGGCUAACUCCGUGCCAGCAGCCGCGGUAAUACGGAGGGGGCAAGCGUUGUUCGGAAUUACUGGGCGUAAAGGGCGCGUAGGCGGCGAAGGUAGUCAGGCGUGAAAGCCCGGGGCUCAACCCGGGAAUUGCGNNNNNAACUGUAGGGCUUGAGUAUGGUAGGGGCAGAGGGAAUUCCCGGUGUAGCGGUUAAAUGCGUAGAUAUCGGGAAGAACACCAGUGGCGAAGGCGCUCUGCUGGGCCAUUACUGACGCUAAUGGACGAAAGCCAGGGGAGCGAAAGGGAUUAGAUACCCCUGUAGUCCUGGCCGUAAACGAUGAACACUAGGUGUCGGGGGAAUCGACCCCUUCGGUGUCGUAGCCAACGCGUUAAGUGUUCCGCCUGGGUAGUACGCACGCAAGUGUGAAACUCAAAGGAAUUGACGGGGGCCCGCACAAGCGGUGGAGUAUGUGGUUUAAUUCGAUGCAACGCGAAGAACCUUACCAGGGUUUGACAUCCUGCGAACCUCUAAGAAAUUGGAGGGUGCCUUUGGGAACGCAGUGACAGGUGGUGCAUGGCUGUCGUCAGCUCGUGUCGUGAGAUGUUGGGUGAAGUCCCGCAACGAGCGCAACCCUCACUUUUAGUUGCCAUCAUUAAGUUGGGCACUCUGAAAGAACUGCCAGUGAUAAGCUGGAGGAAGGUGGGGAUGACGUCAAGUCCUCAUGGCCCUUACGUGUUGGGCUACACACGUGCUACAAUGGCACUUACAAUAGGACGCGAAAACGCGAGUUUAAGCAAAUCCUAAAAUGAUGCCUCAGUUCGGAUUGUACUCUGCAGCUCGAGUACAUGAAGCUGGAAUUACUAGUAAUCGCGGAUCAGCGCGCCGCGGUGAAUACGUUCCCGGGUCUUGUACACACCGCCCGUCACACCAUGGGAGUUGGUUCUACCUUAAGGCAAGGCUUUAAAACCUUGACCACGGUAUAGUCAGCGACUGGGGUGAAGUCGUAACAAGGUAGCC